Molecule: long non-coding RNA, 684 nt
Organism: Oncorhynchus tshawytscha (Chinook salmon)
Lineage: Eukaryota; Metazoa; Chordata; Actinopteri; Salmoniformes; Salmonidae
Source: Ensembl
UUUUAGUUAUGUUAUAUAAAGUUAUGUUAUACAAAAAUACAAGCAACAAUAUUUCGUAACAUUCAUGUGCAAAAUGUAUCUUAUUUGUAACAUACUGUGGAUCAAGUAUUCAUAAAUUGACUUUGACAGAGCUAAGCUCCAGAUUCCAUGUCUUUCAUUGAUCGUUUCCCAGAAUUCUCCCUAAUCCAAAGGGAAUGGGGCAUGCUGUUCCUGCCUGUGUUCAGUCAGUUCAUUUCUUCUUCCUGGUCCAUGUGGAAUCCCAAACAUUGAACACCUGAUUAGCAUUGCCAGGACCACCAUCAGUGGUCAUUGGUAAACCAAGCAUCAGUCAUUAUGACACUGCUGUAGUCCUUUUUGAUUGAUCGAUCCAUGUGACAUCUUUAUCACAGAUUACCAUCAGACUUGUAAAAACACACAUCCUCCAUGUUCAGAGGAACAUGCUGGUCCGGUCCAGUCUGGUCCGCUCUAUAGGGACCUGGUCAGAGGAACAUGUUGGUCUGGUCCAGUCUGGUCCGCUCUAUAGGGACCUGGUCAGAGGAACAUGUUGGUCUGGUCCAGUCUGGUCCGCUCUAUAGGGACCUGGUCAGAGGAACAUGCUGGUCCGGUCCAGUCUGGUCCGCUCUAUAGGGACCUGGUCUGAGGGACAUGUUGGUCUGGUCCAGUCUGGUCCCCUCUAUAGAGACC